RNAcentral lists this ribosomal RNA (600 nucleotides) under Klebsiella pneumoniae. RNAcentral's name for it is "bacterial SSU rRNA". It matches the Rfam family "Bacterial small subunit ribosomal RNA", at positions 1 to 592 of the family's 1533-position model. The record is from RNAcentral. Lineage: Bacteria; Pseudomonadati; Pseudomonadota; Gammaproteobacteria; Enterobacterales; Enterobacteriaceae.
AAAUUGAAGAGUUUGAUCAUGGCUCAGAUUGAACGCUGGCGGCAGGCCUAACACAUGCAAGUCGAGCGGUAGCACAGAGAGCUUGCUCUCGGGUGACGAGCGGCGGACGGGUGAGUAAUGUCUGGGAAACUGCCUGAUGGAGGGGGAUAACUACUGGAAACGGUAGCUAAUACCGCAUAAUGUCGCAAGACCAAAGUGGGGGACCUUCGGGCCUCAUGCCAUCAGAUGUGCCCAGAUGGGAUUAGCUAGUAGGUGGGGUAAUGGCUCACCUAGGCGACGAUCCCUAGCUGGUCUGAGAGGAUGACCAGCCACACUGGAACUGAGACACGGUCCAGACUCCUACGGGAGGCAGCAGUGGGGAAUAUUGCACAAUGGGCGCAAGCCUGAUGCAGCCAUGCCGCGUGUGUGAAGAAGGCCUUCGGGUUGUAAAGCACUUUCAGCGGGGAGGAAGGCGGUGAGAUUAAUAACCUCAUCGAUUGACGUUACCCGCAGAAGAAGCACCGGCUAACUCCGUGCCAGCAGCCGCGGUAAUACGGAGGGUGCAAGCGUUAAUCGGAAUUACUGGGCGUAAAGCGCACGCAGGCGGUCUGUCAAGUCGGA